RNAcentral lists this non-coding RNA (30 nucleotides) under Rattus norvegicus (Norway rat). Lineage: Eukaryota; Metazoa; Chordata; Mammalia; Rodentia; Muridae. The record is from RNAcentral.
UCACACUCUUGGUAACACUUCUGCCUAUGA